Molecule: long non-coding RNA, 735 nt
Filed under: Rattus norvegicus (Norway rat)
Lineage: Eukaryota; Metazoa; Chordata; Mammalia; Rodentia; Muridae
Description: long non-coding RNA NONRATT026923
Source: RNAcentral
UAGACCAAGAUAGAACAGCCCUCCAGAAAGUGAAGAAAUCUGUGAAAGCAAUAUAUAAUUCUGGUCAAGCUGGGGACUGAACCCAGGGCCUUGCGCUUCCUAGCCACAACUCACUUGCAGACAGUCACUUCACUGAUACAUCAGUGUCUCUAAUGCACAGAAAGCCUGGAAGGGGAAGAUGGCUGACUACGAAGGAAAGAGUACGUUCUUUGAAGCUGAACAGUGAACAAAACCACCUUGAACUGCAUCCUGCUUUCUAUACAUGGGAUGGUACUAUUAAAGACUUGGACCUCAUUUCUGUAUUAUAUCGUCGGAGUUCAGUAAACUCAGUGUUCUUCUUAAUGUUAUUAUUAUUAUACAGCUAUAGAGCUGAAAGAAGUGUGAGCAAGGCAAAACCUGACCCCAGAACUGCCUUCCUCACACACCCUCAGAACUAAAAUCACUAGUCUGAGGGAAAACUUGCUCUUGACAGCCUCCUCCCCACACCUUAGAACAUUGUACAACAUUAUCAUCAUGUUUUAUACCACUACCUCAUUUCUCUAUAUUUCAAGAAAAUGACACAAUAUUUAAAUAACACAAGUAAGUAAUGACUGUUUAUAAGUCAGUUUUUUUUUAUCUGAUACAAGUAAAUAUAAUUAUAGUGGUUUUAUUUUUUCAUCUUUAUUAACUUGGGUAUUUCUUAUUUACAUUUCGAUUGUUAUUCCCUUUCCCAGUUUCCGGGCCAACAUCCCCCUA